ACAAAUCCAUCACCCAACUCGUAACUCAGCAAUCAGUGGAGCUUUUCCCUUCUUCAAUUCUUUUCAACAACAAGCUUAUCAUUUUUCUUCUUUCACGGAAGGUUUCUGCUUCUGUAUUUUUACAGAAAGCCUGCAUUGAUCUCAUCUAUGAUAAUCCACACAGACAACAACCCACAAAAUCCUUGAGAAAAGGUUUGAUCUUACACCCAUCUAUUCAUGACUUAUAUACUCUUUUCACUACUUCACAAAGAAGACAAUCACGGAUGGCACAUACAUAUUUCAUAUACAGAAUCAACACUAACAAGGAUUUCACUUUUCACUCAUAAGAACAAAACAUGUAUUGAAAUUUGUAGAUUUAUUUACACACCUGCAAAUCUUGUCUUAUAAUUGAGAUCAUUAAAGAGAUGGAAUAAAAAGAAGAAGCUUUUUGUGUAUAUGUUGGUGUGUGUACUGCUGUGUGCGUGAGUCUUAGAGGGGCUGUGUCGUCGUCCGAACUGAGGGAGAACGGAGGAGGGAGAGGGGAUUGGCGACGGCGGCGGUGGCCUGAUGCUCCUGCUGCCCGUCGAUCCAGAGAGGGUGAGAGUGGCGGUGGCGGGUAGCUACUGCUGCUGCUCUCCGGCUGAAACAGAGGGAGUGGGGCGACGAUGUCAGAGAGAAUGAGGGAGGCGGCGAUGGCGGUGGUCCGGCUGACCGCUGUUUUCGGCUGAAGCAGAGGGGGCGGUUCCGGCGGUUACGUCGCCGGAAAUCGAAGGAAAGAGAACCUAGGGUUGCUGAUUUGGGAAAUUUUUGUGAGGGAAGAGAUAAGGGGGACGAGCGAGAGAGCGAAAGUCGGGAGAAGGAAGGAAAGUCAGAGGGAGCGGCGGCGGCGGCACUCGCCGGCCGUCUGUCGACGGGAAAUUGAGAGAAAAGGGGGAGAGUUUCAUUAGCUACUUCAUCUGGUUCAGUUUUGAGAAUGAAAGAACGGGGUUUGAGUGAUUUUGAUGAGGGGAAGAAGGUGGUGGUGGCAGCUGGUGGCGAUUUCGCCGGGAAUGGAAGGCGGCGGCGUCGACAGGAGAGAAGAGGAAAAGAGAGAGAGACCGAAGGGGAGAGUGAGAGAGUGUCUGUGUGUGUACGUUGAGAAAAAGGAGAAGAAAGGAGAGAUUGAAGAAGGUGAGUUGGGCUCUAGCUUUGGGCCUUUAAUUUUAUUAAGUGGGCUGCAUUUUUUAUAACUUGGGCUUCAUGCAUAUAUUUCUAUUGGGCUGCAUGUUUAUUUGUUUGGUUAUAUGUUUUAAUUAUAAGUUAAAGUCUUACAAAUAUUUGUAAGCAAAAUAUUUUUAAGUUGAUUUUAUGCUCAAGAUGAGUUUUUAAGUAAAAGCCGAGCAAGGAUAUUAUUGAAAUCCUUAGCCAAGAAAAAUGAUUUUCAAGUUUUAUGUUGAAUUUUUGAAAAUCCGGGUGUUGCGAAUCUAGUUAGAAAUGAUGACAAGUCAUGAAGGUUAAGCUUGAUUUUAGGACUAUGAGUUUAAGUUGAGAACUUAUCUUGUAGGUCCUACAGAAGAGGAUAUUUAGGCUCUUGUUCAGCUGAGUUAUUUGUUUGGAUUUUCUCCAAAUCAGGUGAGGCUUUAUUUACGAAAUGUAUGUUUGAGCUAAUAAGCUCGGUUUUAUGUAAAGUUAAAGAUGAUGGUUCAUGCUUAAAAUGUUUUUGCUCUCUAUUGGUUACUGCUUCUACCAGAACAUUGUUGGCUCCGCCAACCAGAACAUUGUUAGCUCUGCUAACCAGAAUUGUGUACGUACACCAGAACCUGUUGUCUCGAGAGAUCGGUGACAACCAGUUGUAGAUAGCAUGCCCAAUAGAUGGCCAGGAAAAUAUGAGCUCAGAUUAUUUUAGUAUGCAUGGAAUGACUCGUCUUUAAAAACAUUCUGUGUUAUACUGUUUAAAGGCAUGAAUUAUCUUUUUCAGUAAAUGAUUUUUAAAAUGUUUUUAAAUGGCUCAACCCACUGAGUACACUAGUACUCAGCCCUGCAAUUGUUUUCAAAACCUUUUGCAGAUUGAGCAGCUGGUGGUGACGUGCGAGGCUGAGGAAGGGUUGUUGCUGUGGAUUCUGAAGAAAUACUGCGUUUACUUCUCCUAAAAUAAAUUCACUUAGUGAAUAUUAUCUGAUGCCUAAUUAUAUUAAUACUUUUAUUCAUAUUUCUAAUAUGAAUUUCAUUCUCCAUCACUUUUCUAGCGAUUGUUUUUCGCAUCUAUUAUAUGCUUAGUAUGAGACGUUGUUUUGGUCUCAGACCUUCGAACUUCCGAUCCUGAUAGGGAGAAUAAUUAUGUUAUAAUGUCGUACUUGUUUUCAUUUAAAUACGGCAUAAUGUCCAACCCUCAGGGCACAUUACCUAUUUUAUUCAAGUAAAGCUUAGUAGUCCUGUCACAUAGCCCAUUUCUUAUUCUCCCGGGAAAUCAGGGCUGUCACA
RNAcentral lists this long non-coding RNA (2439 nucleotides) under Salvia miltiorrhiza (redroot sage). Its description in RNAcentral is "long non-coding RNA (SMIL_LNC005780)". The record is from RNAcentral. Lineage: Eukaryota; Viridiplantae; Streptophyta; Magnoliopsida; Lamiales; Lamiaceae.